UGGUGGCAAGUCUGCCGCUGAUAAAGGAAAGGAUACUCGUGAUUAUCUUGCUGCUGCAUCUCCUGAGCUUAAUGCUUGGGAGCGUGCUGGUGCUGAUGCUUCCUCUGCUGGUAUGGUUGACGCCGGAUUUGAGAAUCAAAAAGAGCUUACUAAAAUGCAACUGGACAAUCAGAAAGAGAUUGCCGAGAUGCAAAAUGAGACUCAAAAAGAGAUUGCUGGCAUUCAGUCGGCGACUUCACGCCAGAAUACGAAAGACCAGGUAUAUGCACAAAAUGAGAUGCUUGCUUAUCAACAGAAGGAGUCUACUGCUCGCGUUGCGUCUAUUAUGGAAAACACCAAUCUUUCCAAGCAACAGCAGGUUUCCGAGAUUAUGCGCCAAAUGCUUACUCAAGCUCAAACGGCUGGUCAGUAUUUUACCAAU
Molecule: ribosomal RNA, 421 nt
Filed under: uncultured prokaryote
Description: partial 16S ribosomal RNA
Source: RNAcentral